GUGAACGCUGGCGGUAGGCCUAACACCUGCCAGUCGCACGGCAGCACAGUAAGAGCUUGCUCUUACGGGUGGCGAGUGGCGGACGGGUGAGGAAUACAUCGGAAUCUACUUUUUCGUGGGGGAUAACGUAGGGAAACUUACGCUAAUACCGCAUACGACCUACGGGUGAAAGCAGGGGAUCUUCGGACCUUGCGCGAUUGAAUGAGCCGAUGUCGGAUUAGCUAGUUGGCGGGGUAAAGGCCCACCAAGGCGACGAUCCGUAGCUGGUCUGAGAGGAUGAUCAGCCACACUGGAACUGAGACACGGUCCAGACUCCUACGGGAGGCAGCAGUGGGGAAUAUUGGACAAAGGGCGCAAGCCUGAUCCAGCCAUACCGCGUGGGUGAAGAAGGCCUUCGGGUUGUAAAGCCCUUUUGUUGGGAAAGAAAAGCAGCAGGUUAAUACCCCGCUGUUCUGACGGUACCCAAAGAAUAAGCACCGGCUAACUUCGUG
RNAcentral lists this ribosomal RNA (491 nucleotides) under uncultured bacterium. RNAcentral's name for it is "partial 16S ribosomal RNA". It matches the Rfam family "Bacterial small subunit ribosomal RNA", at positions 29 to 507 of the family's 1533-position model. The record is from RNAcentral.